Pipistrellus kuhlii (Kuhl's pipistrelle) is the source of this 1287-nucleotide long non-coding RNA. RefSeq lists it as uncharacterized. Lineage: Eukaryota; Metazoa; Chordata; Mammalia; Chiroptera; Vespertilionidae. The transcript is spliced from 4 exons. The record is from RefSeq and is a predicted model, not a curated record.
GGCAAAGGGAGAUUAGAUGCACAGAAGGAGGCAACGUGACCAUGGAGACAAAAAUUGGAGUGAUGCAGCCACAAACAAGAUUGCGUGCAGCCACCUGAAACUGAAAGAGGUAGCUUUUGUUUCAUCUAAAGCAUGAAGGAACAUUCUUCACAUCCACAGAAAACACAUGCACAUAUACAUCUAUUCGUAAGAUUGUCUGCCCUUUAGAUGGUUCCUCUCUUCCUGGGAGGUGGAGUGUCAGCAUUUGGUUGCUGAAUUAAAAGCAGCUCCAAGUUUGCCUCAAGAGAGCCAUUCCUCAUCUGCCUGUGCUGCAGUGCUGGGCUGGGCUGUGUGAGCACAUGAGGUACAGUAUUCACACAUUUGUGACCCAACUUCCUCAUCUUCCAUCUCUACCAAACGUCUCAAGAAGAAAUAAUAAAUUUGAUUGUCAAGGGAAGAUGAAAAGGAACCAUCAGCAACCUUUUCCUGAACCACCUCAAACUUUUAGGGCAUACCCUUGUGCAAGCUGUAUUGGCAUGAACUUGUUCCUUUACAUUUCUAUCUGGCCUCAACUCCCUUUGACCAUGGAACUUUCUGACCACUACUCUGAGAAGUAGGAGGGACAACCAUCAAGAAGAAGUGCAGAGGUAAUAAUGUCAGUGUGUGCUUGGGGAUGUGGGCAGGGGGAGCAGAUGGGAAGGAAAAGCCUUAAUUUAUUUCAGCUCACACCUGUCAGAAUGGUUAACAUCAAUAAAUCAACAAGCAACAAGUUUUGGUGAGGAUGAGGAACAAGGGGUACCUUUGUGCACUGUUAGUGGGAAUGCAGAUUGGUGCAUUCCCACUACAAAGGUUCCUCAAAAUUAAAAAAGUAAAAUAAAAAUAGAACUACCUUUUGACCCAGCAACUCCCCUUCUGGGUAUAUAUAUCUGGAAAAAAAUAUAUACUAAGCCAAAAAGAUAUGUGCAUAUACAUCCCUACGUUCAUUGCAGUGUUGUUUCCAAUAGCCAAGAUAGGGAAAUAAUCUAAGUGCCUAUCAGUAGACAAGGGGAUAAAGAAAUGGCACAUAUUUAAUCACACACAUCACUAUAGAGAAGUGAGAGAAAUGGGAGAUUAAUGUUAAAAGCAUCCUGGGCCUGUCUCCUAGCAGUUAAAUAUGGACUUAAAAAAACAACCUUACAGUAUAAAGAAAUUAUGCCAAACAAGUACAUUUGCUUUAAGAUCCCUAAAUAAAAGAUUCAGUCAAAACCGGUUUGGCUCAGUGGAUAGAGUGCUGGCCUGCGGACUCAAGGAUCCCAGGUUCGAUUCCAG